This 560-nucleotide long non-coding RNA is filed under the name Citrus sinensis (sweet orange). RNAcentral's name for it is "long non-coding RNA (CSIN_LNC000317)". The record is from RNAcentral. Lineage: Eukaryota; Viridiplantae; Streptophyta; Magnoliopsida; Sapindales; Rutaceae.
GAAUACAAAAUCUCCAAAGUCAGAAACAAAUACUGCAUGUACAAUCUAGCAAAUGGAAUAACAAAAAAUAACAAUUUUUUUAAGGAGUUUUCAUGUGCUCUGUCUACUUCCCCUCCGUUGAUGAUACAUCUCUUGUGCUAAAUUUGUCCUCCAUGUAUUCCACUCUUCUGAGGUUUCUAUACUAGUUAUCAUGCUAUCUCCAAGUGAUUCCAUCUCAUUUACAGCAUCUAAUGCUUCCUCAAAAGGAUCACAUGACAUCUCCCUCCAUAAUUAAUUAAUCAAAGCUAGUUCAAUAAACAAACGAUGGCAGCGGCUGUGCUGUGCAAAUGGAUGAAAAUUGGAGAAGGGGCUGCAGGUUAUAGAGAAAUUGUAAGACAAAAUAUUUUAGGGUUUCAUAUUUUAAAUUUUAAGUAAGGGUAAAAUUAGAAAUUAAAAAAUAUAGUAGGGUUACAAAUGACAAUUUGAAUAUUUUUAAGUGAUGAAAUUAGAAUUUCUAUCCCCUCAUAGAAGAAAAUUGAAUUCCUUACUACAACAGAAAUUAAAUUUCUAUGGAGAUUAAU